This 465-nucleotide ribosomal RNA is filed under the name uncultured bacterium. RNAcentral describes it as "partial 16S ribosomal RNA". It matches the Rfam family "Bacterial small subunit ribosomal RNA", at positions 28 to 507 of the family's 1533-position model. The record is from RNAcentral.
GACGAGCGCUGGCGGCGUGCUUAACACAUGCAAGUCGAACGGAAAGGCCCUGCUUGCAGGGUACUCGAGUGGCGAACGGGUGAGUAACACGUGGGUGAUCUGCCCUGCACUUCGGGAUAAGCCUGGGAAACUGGGUCUAAUACCGGAUAGGAGCCAUUUUUAGUGUGAUGGUUGGAAAGUUUUUUCGGUGUAGGAUGAGCUCGCGGCCUAUCAGCUUGUUGGUGGGGUAAUGGCCUACCAAGGCGGCGACGGGUAGCCGGCCUGAGAGGGUGGACGGCCACAGUGGGACUGAGAUACGGCCCAGACUCCUACGGGAGGCAGCAGUGGGGAAUAUUGCACAAUGGGCGCAAGCCUGAUGCAGCGACGGCGCGUGGGGGAUGACGGCCUUCGGGUUGGAAACUCCUUUCGCUAGGGACGAAGCUUUUUGUGACGGUACCUAGAUAAGAAGCACCGGCUAACUACGUG